RNAcentral lists this ribosomal RNA (468 nucleotides) under uncultured bacterium. RNAcentral's name for it is "partial 16S ribosomal RNA". It matches the Rfam family "Bacterial small subunit ribosomal RNA", at positions 28 to 507 of the family's 1533-position model. The record is from RNAcentral.
GACGAACGCUGGCGGCGUGCUUAACACAUGCAAGUCGAACGGAAAGGCCCUGCUUUUGUGGGGUGCUCGGGUGGCGAACGGGUGAGGAACACGUGAGUAACCUGCCCUUGACUUUGGGAUAACUUCAGGAAACUGGGGCUCAUACCGGAUAGGAGCUCCUGCUGCAUGGUGGGGGUUGGAAAGUUUCGGCGGUUGGGGAUGGACUCGCGGCUUAUCAGCUUGUUGGUGGGGUAGUGGCUUACCAAGGCUUUGACGGGUAGCCGGCCUGAGAGGGUGACCGGCCACAUUGGGACUGAGAUACGGCCCAGACUCCUACGGGAGGCAGCAGUGGGGAAUAUUGCACAAUGGGCGGAAGCCUGAUGCAGCAACGCCGCGUGCGGGAUGACGGCCUUCGGGUUGUAAACCGCUUUCGCCUGUGACGAAGCGUGAGUGACGGUAAUGGGUAAAGAAGCACCGGCUAACUACGUG